Misgurnus anguillicaudatus (oriental weatherfish) is the source of this 3370-nucleotide long non-coding RNA. RefSeq lists it as uncharacterized. The record is from RefSeq and is a predicted model, not a curated record. NCBI's taxonomy places the organism in Eukaryota, Metazoa, Chordata, Actinopteri, Cypriniformes, Cobitidae.
AGACUUGUCUAAAUAUCUGAAAAUAAGCUGUAAAAAGGGAUUAAUGAUUACUAGUCUGAUUGUAUGUUAUUCUGUGUUAUCAUCAUUCAGUUUGGAUAUGAUCUUUAAUGUACUUUUUUGUUUUACAAAGUAGCUGAUAUUGCCAUAACGACAACAAGAAGCUAGUGGAUAGUGUGGGGAAGUCGCUUGUUCGCGAACGACACAUCACUUCUAGUCGACUCCCGAGUCACUCUCAUUCCAAAAUGGCGGAUUCAUAGGGCUGCUGCUGGGCGCUGGUGUUGCAAUGGAACGUUCUAUUGGCUUUCACUUCUUGUUAAUAUAAGUUCUUUGACAUGACACCAGCGUUUACUGCAUGUUCUUAUUCGGUCAGUUACAACUCAGGUGCAACUCAACUCUAGCACCACCAACAGGUUGGAAGCGGAAUUGUCCAUUACCACUGUCGUAAAUAAUUAUUCGCCUCCUCCGAAAUGAAACCCUUCCUUUUCUUUGAAGGCUCCGCCAUGAUGACAAUUGAAAAGCUGAAAUAACGCUAGGUAAUGGUGUCUUUCUUUCAUAUGUACCUGCCGAGUAUGCUCCACCCACAGCCUGCAGGAUUCUCCACUGUCGUAAAGCAAGUUUUUGUAGUUUUCACUCGAACUACAGGACCGCGACCCCGACGGUUGGUAACUUCUUUAGUGCGGUUUUGGCCAAUAAAGGGCUGCAAAGCGAAUGUGAAAGUGCCGUUCACCCUGUUUCGAGUGGAUGAAUGACCGGAACUUUUUUGGAAACGUUAUUUUAAGGUAAAAAAAACUCUUUGGUGUUGCUUUAACCCAAUCAGUGGGCUCGGUUUGCUUCACGAUAACUCCAAGAUCCUCCAUCCUUUUGAGUUCCAUUUUUACCCUUUCCUUUAGUGCUACCGGUAUGUUCCAUGGUGCAUGAAUGACUGGAGCAACAUCUGGGUUCAGCUGUACAUCGUGCAGUCCUGAUACACAUGCUAACCCAGAAAACACAUCUUUGUAUUCACUCAGACUUCAACUGACACAGAUGAGGACUGAAUCCGGAGUCCAUUCCCAAGCGAUCACAUUCAACAUAACAAGUAUUUUGUUAUAAUGUACACUUUUUUUCUGAAAUAAUUUUGUUCUUUGGUGGGCAAAUAAGUUUUGAAUUGAUGUAGUAGUCAUGUAGUAUGUAGUGCUCUUUCCUAUUUUGUUAUCAUGUGUAUUUGGAAUCUCCAGUUUAAAAAAAAGCUCACAGAAACUAAAUUUUUUGGAGUAAUGUUAUUAUUUUUAAAUUUAACGUUAUCACUUCUUUAUGUGCACACUAAUCUUAGCUUUAGGAUCAGAGCCUGAGUUGAUGAUCAGCUUCAUGGUACCAAAAAGUGAUCACAUUCAAAUGGCUGGGUGAUUUUUUUUUAAACCAUGUUGGGUAAAUAUUGGACAGAACACACCAAUGGAUUAAAAUUGACUCAAUGCUGGGUAUUAUAACCCAGUUAUUGCAUAACAACAACACAACAUUGGGUCAUUUUUAACCCAGCACGUUCUGUCCAAUAUUUACGUCCCAUUAUUGGUUAAAAAAAUAACUAGCCAUUUUUAGAGUGUUGGUUUGGUUUUGUCAACUCAUUUCUAAUCCUGUAACUUUGGAGAUUGUUUGACUGUCUUAUGCCCCAGGAACAGUAAAUAUACAAUAGACAUCCAUAACCCUGCUGAACAGACCUAAGCUGGGUGGCUGGUUUUAACUGGUGUAGCAGGCUGGAUUUAAAGGGGGUUUGGACACUUUUCUAGCUGGUCAGGGUGAAAGACCAGCUGACCCAUUAGCUUGACCAGUCAGUAAAACCAGAUGUAUGCAGCUUGGCCAGGCUUGAAGCACCGGCAUAAAUCAGCUAAGACCACUCAGACUGGUAAAGCUUUUUUUAAUUUGAACAGCUAAAGGUGGGCCCUAAAAACCUCUCUAAAAUCAGCUUGCUACACCAGCUAAAACCAAGGUGGGAGACCAGUUAAACUAGUCAACUAGGUUAGGUUGGUUUUAGCUGUUUUUCAGUAGGGAAUGUUCAUCCCUAUACUAAAGUUAUCAUCAUUGUGAUAUGUCUUUGAAUAAUCUCUUAUUAUCAUCACACAGGUCCACGUGCUCAUCUCCACUCAAACCCUUGCAGAGAAAUGAAACAGUGACUGCAUGUUUGAUCUACAGUCGCCACCUGGUGGUGAUAAAAAUGAAUAGCAUUAAAAGAAAGUAUGACUUCAACAUGUUUUUGGUGGUAUAUGGUUCUUUAUCUUAAAGGUAAAUAUAACAGUGAAUGAAGAUAAUCAUUAAACUUGUAGUUUAAUAAAGUUCAGAGUAUCAGUGAAGCAAGUUUCAGAGAUUUCUACCUAAAAUCUAUAAUGUAAAAAAUAUAAUCUUGAUAUAUUUAAUAAGAUACAAUUUUUUUAAUGAGGUCUAUCUCUAUUUACAGUUGUAUUAUGCCACAUUUAACCUCCAAAGACCUGGAUGUCACACAUGUGGACAUCAUUUUUUUGUUGUUGUUUGCACCAUAAUACUUAAUUCUGUGUAACUGGAACCUGUUAUACACAAACAUGGACAAAUACACUGCUUCAUGUUCAAAGAAAAAUAUUUGGCUAAUUAUAUGUAUUGGUUCCCCAAAAUAGCUGGUAGAAAUCUGGAAAAAAGACAAACCAAAGCUCGGGUCUUAGGAGGUUAACCUUUAGGCUUCAUGUUAUCUUACCAAAGAUAGGAGAUUGUUGCAUAAAAUUGGUUUUGGGGCAGGAAAAAUAAUUUUGGUAGUGGAAACAUUUUUUAAGAUCUUUUCCUCUCAUCUCAUACAGUAUUUUGUCUGUGGCGGUUCUUCAUCACUCAACAUGUCAAAUGUCCUUUAAUGUGUUUAGGAAUUAAUAUUAAGUAGUGUUUAGUGAAUUUAACCUGCCAGUAAACCCAGCAAUAUGUAACUCUGCUGAUGCUUUAACUGCUGUAAGGGAUGAGAGUUUAUAUCUAACUUUGUCUGUUUUUGACUGACUGCCAGUGUUUAACAUUUUGAUAUGUGUAAAGGAUUUUGAGCAAUCAAAAAAAAUCAUUUUUGUAUCAUGCAGUAAAAUAUAUAAUGCCUUUUGAUGAUUUAAAUAAAAUCUCCAUACAAUCUGAGCAUGUCUGUGUUUUACUCUUGACUAAUACUCUUAGGGGCGGUUUCCCGGAGAGGGAUUAGACUAGUCCUAGACUAAAACAUUUUUAUGAGCUGUCCAAACUGAAAACAACUUGCACUGACAUAUCCUAAAAUACACCAGGGCCCUUUGUUUUGCCUAAAAAUGCACACAGGUAAUGUUUUUAGUAUGGCAUAUUUGUUAAAACUAGUUAUAUUUCCUAAUUAAACUAAGGCCUAGUCCUGGAUUAAGCUAAUCCCUGUCCG